UGGGAAGGGCCUUCACACAGAGGCCCGCCCCCAUCUCGCCCCUCCUCGCGGUGCUCCCGACCGCGCAGAGGUCUCUGGGAAAUGUAGUUUUCUUCUGCCUGGAGCUCUGCGCGGGGCGACGCAGCUGGGCUGCAACCCGCUCCUCCAGGGACGGGUAGUGUGACGUUUGGGGUCAGAACGCACCACUUUCGGGCACCCCCACUUAAGAUUGCUCAACUGCUUUGAGCUCAGAAAGCAAGGUGUAAAGGUGGGGGAAAAGCACUUUCGUCUCAGAAUUACAGCUACUGGUAUGGAAAAGCUGGGGCCCUUCGCUGGUGUGAGUCCUAAGGAUGUCUAAAUGGAACGUGCAUCUGCUACAGGCUCGCACUUUCCUUUAUUGCGCUUCCCAGACUUCCUGCUGUUGUAAGCAACCACUACAGAUUUCUCAGAAGUACUGUGGCAAAUAAAAAUGAUUGAGAAUCAUUAUACAUUUUCUAUUCUACUAGAGAGACAGUUUAAAAUAAAAUAGAAUGCUAAGACCACCAUGCAGUGGAAAAGCUCCAUCUACCAGAAGAUGAGAAGCCAUGUGGAGAACUAAGACUUCCCAGCCAAUAGCCAGCACCAACUGCCAGACACGUAAGUGAGGCCAUCUUGAACCCUCCAACCCUAGAUGUAUUCACGGUUCUCCAGAGAAACAGAACCAAUAAGAUGUGUGUGUGUGUGUGUGUGUGUGUUUAUAAAGAUAUUUAUUUUAAGGACUUGACUCACUUGAUUAUAGAGCUUCCAAGUCCAAAAUCUGCAGGGUGGGUUGGCAGGCUGGAGGCCAGGGAAAAGGUGAUGCUACAGUUCAAGUCUGAGAGCCAUCUACUGGCAAAAUUCCUUCUUGCUCAUGGAAGGUCAGUCUUUUGUUCUAUUCAGGCCUUCAGUUGAUUGGAUAAGGCCUACUCACAUUAUGGAGGGCAAUCUGCGUUAUUCAAAGUCCCCUGAUUUGUUACUCAGAGGUGAGAAAAAUCAUGGUGUACUAAAGUCACCACAAAAACUUCUGUAGAUCAUAUGGAGAAGCAGGAGAGAUGAAGCUGGAGAGCAAAGCAGCAAAUCAGCAAUUAAAAAAGAUGUUUGGAGUUGUUGAGUUUGGAGAUGAAAAGUGACAAGAUGAAUUCUGGAUUUUAGACAAAGCAAUCCAACGUGUGGAUGGAGAGGGAUUUGAGAGGAGAAAUCAGCUGUUGUCAGUAAGAGUAUUUAAAUUAGGAUACUGGUAACGGGGAUGGAGAGACACACGAUUAUACAUGGGAAGUGAGAGCAGAAAGAAUUAGGAUUAUUUCUUGAUUUUUUUUUUUUUUUUUU
Molecule: long non-coding RNA, 1323 nt
Filed under: Homo sapiens (human)
Lineage: Eukaryota; Metazoa; Chordata; Mammalia; Primates; Hominidae
Description: HSALNT0366018
Source: RNAcentral